CAGUAGCCACGGGAAUACGGAGGGGGCUAGCGUUGUUCGGAAUUACUGGGCGUAAAGCGCACGUAGGCGGCUUGGUAAGUUAGAGGUGAAAGCCUGGAGCUCAACUCCAGAAUUGCCUUUAAGACUGCCGAGCUAGCAGGUGAGAGAGGUAAGUGGAAUUCCGAGUGUAGAGGUGAAAUUCGUAGAUAUUCGGAAGAACACCAGUGGCGAAGGCGGCUUACUGGCUCAUACUGGACGCUGAGGUGCGAAAGCGUGGGGAGCAAACAGGAUUAGAUACCCCUGUAGUCCCUGUCUCUUAUAA
This 301-nucleotide ribosomal RNA is filed under the name uncultured bacterium. Its description in RNAcentral is "partial 16S ribosomal RNA". It matches the Rfam family "Bacterial small subunit ribosomal RNA", at positions 509 to 809 of the family's 1533-position model. The record is from RNAcentral.